GCCUGGGUGGCUCAGUCGGUUGAGCGUCUGACUUUGGCUCAGGUCAUGAUCUCGUGGUCUGUGAGUUCGAGCCCCGUGUCGGGCU
RNAcentral lists this transfer RNA (85 nucleotides) under Felis catus (domestic cat). It matches the Rfam family "tRNA". Rfam says of the family: Transfer RNA (tRNA) molecules are approximately 80 nucleotides in length. Their secondary structure includes four short double-helical elements and three loops (D, anti-codon, and T loops). The record is from Rfam by way of RNAcentral. Lineage: Eukaryota; Metazoa; Chordata; Mammalia; Carnivora; Felidae.